This is an RNA transcript of Octodon degus (degu), 1265 nucleotides long. It is a transcript of the gene named eukaryotic translation initiation factor 4H pseudogene, with no coding region annotated. The transcript is spliced from 2 exons. NCBI's taxonomy places the organism in Eukaryota, Metazoa, Chordata, Mammalia, Rodentia, Octodontidae. The record is from RefSeq and is a predicted model, not a curated record.
AUGGGAGGCAUAUUCGGCGGUGGCAGAGGAUCCCGCGGCAGUGCUGGCGGCCAUGGUUCCUGUAGCCAGAAGGAGCUGCCCACAGAACCCCCCUACACAGCCUAUGUAGGAAACCUUCCUUUCAACACAGUUCAGGGUGACAUAAAAGCUAUCUUUAAGGAUCUCAGCAUAAAGAGCGUAUGGCUAGUCAGAGACAAAGACACAGACAAGUUUAAAGGAUUCUGCUAUGUAGAAUUCGAUGAGGUUGACUCCCUAAAGGAAGCCCUGACCUACCAUGGUGCACUAUUGGGUGACCGGUCACUUCGUGUGGACAUUGCAGAAGGCAGAAAACAAGAUAAAGGUGGCUUUGGAUUCAGGAAAGGCGGACCAGAUGACAAAGGUUACAGGGAUGACUUCCUAGGAGGCCGAGGAGGCAGUCACCCAGAGGACCAACGAGCAGGCCUUCCCACGGGGAGUCGCUUCCAAGACGGACCCCCGCUGCACAGCUCCAACAUGGACUUCCAAGAACCCAUGGAAGAAGAAAGAGCACAGAGACCAUGGCUCCAGCUCAAACCUUGGACAGUGGCAAUAACCCUCAACCAAGUAGCCAACCCCAAAUCCAUCAUCUUUGAGGGAGCCAGGCCCAGAAAGGAAGUCGUGAACAAGGAGCAGGAAUGAGCAUGCAGCGGGAAUGGGGCGUGGGGAGUUAGAGCGAGACCACAGCCAACGGCCUGGACCGGCCACCCCACAGACACCGUUCCUGUACCUGACACUGUCCUCCUUCCUUACAGUGCAAACACUGAGCUUGUGAAUGCAUGUCAGCUGUUAACAAGUGGUUUUUAGUACAUCCUUGGCUUUGCUGUACCUAGCUAGUGCCUGUUUUGUGCUCUUUAUUUUUUUCCUUCUCUGUCCUCAUCUUCUAUCUGUUCUCCCUGUUGCCCCCGUGUCUGCAGCACGCAGUGUCUGAAGGAGGCGUGAAGCCUGCCCUGUGAGAGGCACAGGCCCAGGUGGUGCUGGCUUUGGUGCUUCUCCUUUGCCUUCUCUUUAUUUUCCACAUGGGCCAGACUUGGUUUUUCUCAGUGCUUCUUUUCUGACCCGCAUGCUGAGUUCUGUGUCGCUGUGGCUUCCAGGAAAGAGCAGAAGUUGCUGGCAAGUUGGCCAGCUGUGGUCGAUAUGCCAAAUUGGAUGCACCUUGUAUUGAAAAUGAGGGAAAAUUCCUGCUGAUCCUUGCCUCCUUCCACCCUUAUGGUCCUGCUCCUAGGGUGUCCUGUCACCAUCAGCCCUCC